Molecule: ribosomal RNA, 254 nt
Filed under: uncultured bacterium
Lineage: Bacteria
Description: partial 16S ribosomal RNA
Rfam family: Bacterial small subunit ribosomal RNA
Source: RNAcentral
UACGGGGGGGGCAAGCGUUGUUCGGAAUUACUGGGCGUAAAGGGCUCGUAGGCGGCCAACUAAGUCGGAUGUGAAAUCCCCAGGCUUAACCUGGGAACUGCAUCCGAUACUGGAUGGCUCGAAUCCGGGAGAGGGAUGCAGAAUUCCAGGUGUAGCGGUGAAAUGCGUAGAUAUCUGGAGGAACACCGGUGGCGAAGGCGGCAUCCUGGACCAACACUGACGCUGAGUGAGCGAAAGCCAGGGGAGCAAACGGG